Non-coding RNA from Cricetulus griseus (Chinese hamster), 574 nucleotides. The record is from RefSeq and is a predicted model, not a curated record. NCBI's taxonomy places the organism in Eukaryota, Metazoa, Chordata, Mammalia, Rodentia, Cricetidae.
CGAGGGGCGGGAUCCCAAAGUUCAAUAAGGAAUCCUGGGGCCAGACUUUGAGAAAUCCUCAAACGGUGUGUGUGCGCGCGCGCGCGCGGGUGGGGAGAAGGCAGCCCCCCUUCGGAACCCUGAAUGACUGAUCCGAGGGACGGGUCAAGUGGCGCCCGAACAGGGGAGUACGGUCAGCUGUCGGAUGGCGGAAAGACAGCCCGGGACAAAGAGGAUCCUGCAGACGGCCAGACUCGAGCCCUCUCCAGGUGGAGGCAGCCCCGCCUUCGGAACCCUGAAUGACUGACCCGUGGGACGAGUCAAUGAGCCAUCUCUCCAGGCCCCACAUAUCUUAAAUACUGUUACAAAUGAUCUUGAGCUCCUGAUCCUCUCAUUGCUACUCUCAAGUGCUGAGAUUUCAGGUGUGCUGCCUUAGUUUGGUGGAUUCCGUCUGCACGUGAUCUAUCCUGUCCCCGAACCUGCCUGCGCUCCUCAGGACGUCAGUUGUUAGAAUCAUAUAUGUCGUCGUGGAAGGGUUUCUCUGUGGCUUUGGAGGCUGUCCUGGAACAAGCUCUUGUAGACCAGGCUGGACUUG